UACGGAAGGCAGCAGUGGGGAAUAUUGCACAAUGGGCGCAAGCCUGAUGCAGCCAUGCCGCGUGUACGAAAAAGGCCUUCGGGUUGUAAAGUACUUUCAGUCGUGAGGAAGGUGUUAAGGUUAAUAACCUUAGCAAUUGACGUUAGCGACAGAAGAAGCACCGGCUAACUCCGUGCCAGCAGCCGCGGUAAUACGGAGGGUGCGAGCGUUAAUCGGAAUUACUGGGCGUAAAGGGCACGCAGGCGGUUAAUUAAGUUGGAUGUGAAAUCCCCGGGCUUAACCUGGGAAUGGCAUUCAAGACUGGUUAGCUAGAGUCUUGUAGAGGGGGUAGAAUUCCAUGUGUAGCGGUGAAAUGCGUAGAGAUGUGGAGGAAUACCGGUGGCGAAGGCGGCCCCUGGACAAAGACUGACGCUCAUGUGCGAAAGCGUGGGGAGCAAACAGAUUAGAUACC
Molecule: ribosomal RNA, 451 nt
Filed under: uncultured bacterium
Lineage: Bacteria
Description: bacterial SSU rRNA
Rfam family: Bacterial small subunit ribosomal RNA
Source: RNAcentral